This is a long non-coding RNA of Vombatus ursinus (common wombat), 364 nucleotides long. RefSeq lists it as uncharacterized. Lineage: Eukaryota; Metazoa; Chordata; Mammalia; Diprotodontia; Vombatidae. The transcript is spliced from 3 exons. The record is from RefSeq and is a predicted model, not a curated record.
AUUGGAGAAGAGGGCUUCUUACCAAAAUGACUUCCACACAUUCCCCUUUUGUCCAGGAAGAUUUCCAUCUCUGAUGCAUGCUGAAUAGCUUACUCACAACAUGAGAGGCAACUAGGUGUUGUGGUGGAUAGCUAAGAGUCCCUAGACCUGGUGCUGGAAGGCAGUAAGAAGCUCCCAGCUCUCAGAUUACCUGAGCACAAGCCUCAGUGAGGAAGUUGGCUCUAUCAAGAACCUUGACUUAAGCACCAACCGCAUGUAGAAAGAACUGUGGCAAGUACUGGGGGAAAGACAGCAUUCCAAUUAGACACAAGGUAAGGAGCAGCUUCCAAAGAGAUUCCUGAAAGGGCAGGGGUAUCCAACUUUU